This is a long non-coding RNA of Lutra lutra (Eurasian river otter), 762 nucleotides long. RefSeq lists it as uncharacterized. The transcript is spliced from 4 exons. The record is from RefSeq and is a predicted model, not a curated record. Lineage: Eukaryota; Metazoa; Chordata; Mammalia; Carnivora; Mustelidae.
CCGUGCUCUGAGCUGACCGAGCCUGUGACCAGUUCAAGGACAGAGUGGAAACCAAAUGUCCCUUCUUUGUUUAUUACCAUAACUAUAUCCAGUUUGUGAAAGUUGGCCCUGACACAUUGGUGCUACACUGAAUUGAUAUGUAAAUAUUAUGGAAAGCCUGCCUGGAAAUGCUACCCUGAUAGAGUAGCAGAAAGGGAGAAGCCCAUGGAAAGAGAGAAACUAAAGUGAGCGAAGACAGGAGGGAUGAAAAUGAGAGCACUUACAUGGAGCACUAUAAGGAAGAAGACCAAGAAACUGAAGAGGUUGUGCACUUCCUCUGAGGCAGCAAGAUAGAUAGAUCUCUCUCGAUGCUUCGAGGUGAAGAGCAUGGCUGAGAGUCAGAUGGGACUACUCCCAUCUGCUUUGGGAGAAGGGGGGGACACAGAGGGUACCAGAAAAGCAAACUGAAGGCUUUGGUUUCCUCCCAACUUAGUCCACAUCAGUUACUCUCAAAAGGGGAGGCACCCAAAGUUAUAGCCAACGUGGAAAAUGACUGAGGAAUGGGGAGAACUCCCUGCCUGCCGUACCCUUCCAGGUAUCUGCCGCAGUGAGGAUGACAACAAGAUAAAGUGAAUGAACCUAAAGAGAGUGCGGCAACCAGAAGAGAGAAAUGGGAUGUCACAACCCAACAAUUUCCGUGUCAGGGCAAGAGUCCCUGAAGUCUGUACAUUGUGAAGAAUAUUACCUGGAAUGGCCUCGUGUGGACAGAGAAAAGCUUCAAGA